This is an RNA transcript of Panicum hallii, 1196 nucleotides long. It is a transcript of the gene named proteasome assembly chaperone 3-like, with no coding region annotated. NCBI's taxonomy places the organism in Eukaryota, Viridiplantae, Streptophyta, Magnoliopsida, Poales, Poaceae. The transcript is spliced from 9 exons. The record is from RefSeq and is a predicted model, not a curated record.
CAGCCGCCGCCCUCUCCCGUCUUCCGCCGCCGGGCCACGCCAGCAAGGUCCUAUUCUUCCUCGCGCCGGCGACGGCGCACAGGCAGCGAUUCCGACGUCUUCUCCCGUCGCCGCCCUCCUCUCACUCGCCCUGAACUGGUACCAAACUGGAUUGUGACCGGGUUGGAAGCAUAUCCGGAGUCGGAUUGAUUUUAAACCUAGCUUGCUCCCAGUCUGGAGUUAGUUCUGCACCCAAUCGGGCAAAUCCAGGUCUUUCUUCUUCCUCCUAGUCCGGUUGGUUGCGGAUUUUCUUGCUGCCUGAGAAGUCUGCUGAUCCAAACCGUCCGUCCGUCCCCCUCCCUGUGGUUCGAUUUGUCUCUUAGUCUUCGUCAGCGCACAGGAUCGACCUCGGUUGAUACCUGACACCACAGGACCUUCCGACAUCAAGCUCUGCUGAUUGGGUAGAUGGAGGUGCCGAUGAACUCAGCACAAUCCGGUGCUCACUUCCCAGUUCAGCAUCGGUCCGUCUCACUAGACAUCAAGGGCAAUAAGACAGACAUUGUUAUCAGUAAAUAUGAAGAUACCUUUCUGGUGAUUGUGACACAAAUUGGCUGCAUGGGAACCAUACUUGCUGCCAAGAAAGAUGAAAGUGUUUUCUCGGACCCAACCUACAAUGUGGCUGUUCUUUUUGGGAAGAGAGAUGAGCCCCUCUUACUAGCUUGUGCACGCCAACUUAUUGAGCACAUAAGUGGCAGUGGCUCAGCACGGUCGUUGGUGAUCUCUCUUGGUCUGAAAGAUCAUUCUCAGGGAACACUGAAGGAUAUAAUUGCAGCUGUGAUUGAGAAUCGUCUUUGGUGAUGGUUUUGAUUAACUGAGCUGGAGUUGGGAUGGACUGAAGACGCUGACAUGAACAUAUAACAUUGAGCAAGAGGAACCCUCAUUUUAUCAUCAUGGGCGAGGUGGGGAUGGUGGUUGAGGCUUCUCCUGUUGCCAAGAUUUGGGUCUCAUGCUAAACAAAAUCACUUUUGGGGGAAGCAUCUUGUUUUUUUUCUCCAUGUUGCAAGCAAUUUUAUGCUAUCCAACCCAUUCAUCUGCAAACACAUGAAUGCCACUUUCCCUAGGCAAACAAGAAUAAGCUCCCAUCUGGUGGCUCAUGUUGGUUAGGCUAGAAAACAGGACCUAAGACAAGCUCUUUGUUAAAGUGAUUACUUCAAUUU